This 883-nucleotide ribosomal RNA is filed under the name unidentified. RNAcentral's name for it is "Lactifluus tropicalis partial large subunit ribosomal RNA". It matches the Rfam family "Eukaryotic large subunit ribosomal RNA", at positions 76 to 929 of the family's 3401-position model. The record is from RNAcentral.
UCCCCUAGUAACUGCGAGUGAAGCGGGAAAAGCUCAAAUUUAAAAUCUGGCGGUCUUUGUCCGUCCGAGUUGUAAUUUAGAGAAGCGUCUUCCGCGCCGGACCGUGCACAAGUCUCCUGGAAUGGAGCGUCAUAGAGGGUGAGAAUCCCGUCUUUGGCAUGGAGCCCCCGGGGCUUCUGUGAUGCGCUCUCAAAGAGUCGAGUUGUUUGGGAAUGCAGCUCAAAAUGGGUGGUGAACUCCAUCUAAAGCUAAAUAUUGGCGAGAGACCGAUAGCGAACAAGUACCGUGAGGGAAAGAUGAAAAGCACUUUGGAAAGAGAGUGAAACAGUACGUGAAAUUGUUGAAAGGGAAACGCUUGGAGUCAGUCGCGUCGACCGAGACUCAGCCUCGCCUCGGCUUGGUGUACUUCUCGGCUUGACGGGCCAGCAUCAAUUUCAUCCUUUGGAUAAUGACGAGGGAAAGGUAGCACCCUUAUGGGUGUGUUAUAGUCUCUUGUCGCAUGCAAGGGGUGGGAUUGAGGAACUCAGCACGCGCCUUCUAGGUGUCGGGGCUUUUUGGCCCACGUUUUACGUGCUUAGGAUGCUGGCGUAAUGGCUUCAAACGACCCGUCUUGAAACACGGACCAAGGAGUCUAACAUGCCUGCAAGUGUUCGGGUGGAAAACCCGUGUGCGAAAUGAAAGUAAAAGUUGGGACCUCUGUCGUGGAGGGCACCGACGCCUGGACCAGACCUUCUGUGACGGAUCUACGGUAGAGCAUGCAUGUUGGGACCCGAAAGAUGGUGAACUAUGCCUGAAUAGGGUGAAGCCAGAGGAAACUCUGGUGGAGGCUCGUAGCGAUUCUGACGUGCAAAUCGAUCGUCAAAUUUGGGUAUAGGGGCGAAAG